RNAcentral lists this small RNA (162 nucleotides) under Arabidopsis thaliana (thale cress). Its description in RNAcentral is "ATSL265860". Lineage: Eukaryota; Viridiplantae; Streptophyta; Magnoliopsida; Brassicales; Brassicaceae. The record is from RNAcentral.
UAUUAUAAAAGUAAAAGACAAGAAAUCAAUUAAAAUUGGUUGUAGAUUCAGAUGAUUAAGAUGUCGGGUUUAGAAAAUUCUCAGGAGAUAUCAGAAUAGUAGAUCUAGCAGUAAAUUAGGAAUAUUAUCGAACCAUUCUAGAACACAAAUCACUAAUAUAAA